Small nucleolar RNA from Ochotona princeps (American pika), 81 nucleotides. Ensembl annotates it as small nucleolar RNA, C/D box 121B. Its record names the gene SNORD121B. NCBI's taxonomy places the organism in Eukaryota, Metazoa, Chordata, Mammalia, Lagomorpha, Ochotonidae. The record is from Ensembl.
CUGGAAAAGACAAUGAUGUUUCCUUUCCAAGCACAUAUCUGAGCCACAUGUGUGGAAAACCCCAAACUGAGUCUUUUCCAU